UUUGUCUGUGAAGCAUGCUGGUCAGACAGUUAGGUUCUCUGGCAAUUUUUCUAAGGCUUUGAAAUGUGUGUUUUGUAUCGUUGUCUCCAAUAAUAUUAAUUCAUUGUUUAUUUAUUGAUUUAUUCAUUCAUUCAUUUAUGUUUGUGUUGCUGUGUGUGCUUCUGUAUUGUUAACAACAUUAAAAUUCAGCUUUGAUUUGAAUUAGUUUGUAGGAUUAUUCAAUUAUUUCCUGUUUCCUAACAUGUUAGCAUUAUAGUUACUGUGGCAAAAGAAUUAAUAUAUAUGUUGUUUCAUGGUUUACUGGUGUUCAGCUUCCACUAUACCCCCUGUUUCUGGUAUAUUUGUUAGUUUAUUUAAAUUGGUGGUUUCUUCUUUAGUUGGAUGUUAUUGUUAUUGUUUUUUGUUUUUUUGUUUAAAUUAAUAAGUGCUGUAUUGGAAUGACAUUUUUUUACCUUUUGUUUUCUCUUUCCUAUUACUUAUUGUUCCUAAUUUAUUUAUGUAGAUCUCCACCCAGCUGUUUCCAUUUGGUGUUAUAUUUGGUUUUAUAUUUGAAAUUUGACAUUUUAUGCGCUGUCCAAUAAAGGCUUUAUUUAAAUCUUCAGCAGAAUGUGUCACAUAUUAUCCUUCUGAAUGACAUCAGUCAAGUUUGAAGUAGAAAUAUUGUUUCAGUGACAAGUUAUGGUCCACAAUCACUUUUUGGCAGGCUGAAAAUGGCAUAUUAUGGGUAUUAUUGUCCCUUUAAAAGUUAUUCAGCAGUUCUAAGGGACUGGUGGAGAUAUAAUAUUUGACAUAUGACCCAUCUGAAUGACUUCCAGCAAGUCUGAAGCAGAAAUAUUGUUUCAGUGACAAGAUAUAGGUAGCAAUCACCUUUUGGCAGGUUGGAAAUUGCAUAUGAUCAGUUCUAUUGUUCCCUUAAAGGUUAUUAAGGAUUUCCUAGAGACUGUUUGGGAUAUGAUGUGCCACAUAUGAUCCUUUUGGAUGAUACCCAACAAGUUUGAUGCAGAAAUACUGUUUCAGUGACAAGAUAUAGGCCACAAUCACUUUUGGCAGGCUGAAAAUGGCAUAUUAUCGGUAUUAAUGUUCUCUCUCUUACCCUUUACCCGCCCCUGUUGCUUGUCUUGUGUUUCUAUGGUGUAUUGAUAGUCAUGUGCUUUUGUGCUGAGGUGUUUUUUCUGUUAUCAAACUGUUCUCCCACUAGGAGCUCAGUCUGAGUGGAGUUUUUUUUUCUCCUCCUCUUACCUCAUGUAGUGUAUUUUUGUUGUUUUUUCCUAUCAGCCUACCUUUCUGACAUGUCUGCCCAAUGUGAUGUUUGUGUAAAGUUGGUCAGAAGGUUCCUUUGUAAGUGCGCACGCGCCAUUAGCGUGCUGCCUGCUGUAACCCUAAUUUCCCUCGGGAUGAAUAAAGUAUUCUGAUUCUGAUUCUUUUAAAAGUUAUUCAGCAGUUCUUGGAGAGUGUUUGGGAUAUAAUAUGUCACAUGGAUGACAUCCACCAAUUUUGAAGCGGAAACAUUGUUUCAGUCACAAGUUAUGGGCGGCAAUCAGUUUUUGGCAGGUCGAAAAUGUCAUAUGGGUAUUAAUGUUCCUGUAAAAGUUAUUCAGCAGUCCUUAGAGACUGUUUGAGAUAUAAUGUGUCACAUAUAACCCUUCUGAAUGACAUCCACCAAGUUUGAAGCAGAAAUAUUGUUUCAGUGACAAGAUAUAGUCCACAAUCACUUUUUGGCAGGCUGAAAAUGGCAUAUUAUCAAUGUUAAUGUUCCUUUAAAAGUUAUUCAGCAGUUCUUAGAGAGUGUUUGGGAUAUAAUAUGUCACAUGUAACCCUUCUGGAUGAUAUCCAACAAUUUUGAAGCAGAAACAUUGUUUCAGUGACAAGAUAUAGGCGGCAAUCACUUUUUGGCAGGUCGAAAAUGGCAUAUUAUGGGUAUUAAUGGUCCUUUAAUAGUUAUUCAACAGUCCUUAG
Molecule: long non-coding RNA, 1956 nt
Organism: Astatotilapia calliptera (eastern happy)
Lineage: Eukaryota; Metazoa; Chordata; Actinopteri; Cichliformes; Cichlidae
Source: Ensembl